GAAAAACCAUAUAAUGAGUCAUACCAUGAUUUGGAUGCUUUUAAUGAACAUGAAUUUGAUACAUAUCAGGAUUUUGAUAGGUUUCGUGAUGAUUAUCGUAGUCUCAGUAAUGUCCGUGAUCAUGGAAUUGACAGGCUAGAUCGGUUUGGAAGUCGUGAGCGUGAUGAUUAUGCGUAUGAUGAUUAUGACUACAAGUCUAACGUGGCUCAUCAAAAGAGAGAUGAUAGUUAUGA
RNAcentral lists this unclassified non-coding RNA (233 nucleotides) under Hevea brasiliensis (rubber tree). Lineage: Eukaryota; Viridiplantae; Streptophyta; Magnoliopsida; Malpighiales; Euphorbiaceae. The record is from RNAcentral.